GGAUAACAGGCUGAUACCGCCCAAGAGUUCAUAUCGACGGCGGUGUUUGGCACCUCGAUGUCGGCUCAUCACAUCCUGGGGCUGAAGUAGGUCCCAAGGGUAUGGCUGUUCGCCAUUUAAAGUGGUACGCGAGCUGGGUUUAGAACGUCGUGAGACAGUUCGGUCCCUAUCUGCCGUGGGCGCUGGAGAAUUGAGGGGGGCUGCUCCUAGUACGAGAGGACCGGAGUGGACGCAUCACUGGUGUUCGGGUUGUCAUGCCAAUGGCAUUGCCCGGUAGCUAAAUGCGGAAGAGAUAAGUGCUGAAAGCAUCUAAGCACGAAACUUGCCCCGAGAUGAGUUCUCCCUGACCCUUUAAGGG
This 358-nucleotide ribosomal RNA is filed under the name Mesorhizobium sp. Its description in RNAcentral is "partial 23S ribosomal RNA". It matches the Rfam family "Bacterial large subunit ribosomal RNA", at positions 2472 to 2834 of the family's 2925-position model. Lineage: Bacteria; Pseudomonadati; Pseudomonadota; Alphaproteobacteria; Hyphomicrobiales; Phyllobacteriaceae. The record is from RNAcentral.